This is a small nucleolar RNA of Magnolia sinica, 107 nucleotides long. NCBI's taxonomy places the organism in Eukaryota, Viridiplantae, Streptophyta, Magnoliopsida, Magnoliales, Magnoliaceae. The record is from RefSeq and is a predicted model, not a curated record.
AAACCGUGCUGUUGGCAUAAACUGACAAGAUCCUUGAACUGCUCCCAACAUUGAAAGAAUGUUUCAUCUUCCUUUUUAGCGAAGUUCAUGAUCAACUUCCUGAUUGU